Molecule: non-coding RNA, 75 nt
Organism: Myotis davidii
Lineage: Eukaryota; Metazoa; Chordata; Mammalia; Chiroptera; Vespertilionidae
Source: Rfam
GGCGGUUCUCAGGUGAUGCAUCUCAGGAAUCAGGUUCCCUCCUCUCUAGCUCCGGGUGCAUCACCAAGAACUGCA